CAAUAGCGUAUAUUAAAGUUGUUGCGGUUAAAAGCUCGUAGUUGGAUUUCUGUUGAGGGCGACCGGUACGCAUUUCGUGCGUUAUCUGGCUCGGUCUUGGCAUCCUCUUGGGGAACGACUCCAUGCUUAAUUGCACGGAUCGGGAUUCAAGACUUUUACUUUGAGGAAAUUAGAGUGUUCACGGCAAGCAAGUGCUUUGAAAUACAUUAGCAUGGAAUAAUAAUAUAGGACCUUUGUUCUAUUUUGUUGGUUUCUAGAACUAAGGUAAUGAUUAAUAGGGACAAUUGGGGGCAUUCGUAUUAACGCGUCAGAGGUGGAAUUCUUGGAUUUACGAAAGACGAACAACUGCGAAAGCACUUGCCAAGAGUGUUUUCAUUAAUCAAGAACGAAAGUUAGAGGAUCGAAGACGAUCAGAU
RNAcentral lists this ribosomal RNA (416 nucleotides) under uncultured eukaryote. RNAcentral describes it as "SSU rRNA". It matches the Rfam family "Eukaryotic small subunit ribosomal RNA", at positions 592 to 1013 of the family's 1831-position model. The record is from RNAcentral.